AAGGCACACCCGGAGAACUGAAACAUCUUAGUACCCGGAGGAAGAGAAAGAAAAUUCGAUUCCCUUAGUAGCGGCGAGCGAAACGGGAAGAGCCCAAACCAAAAAGCUUGCUUGUUGGGGUUGUAGGACACUCUAUACGGAGUUACAAAGGACGACAUUAGACGAAUCAUCUGGAAAGAUGAAUCAAAGAAGGUAAUAAUCCUGU
RNAcentral lists this ribosomal RNA (205 nucleotides) under Staphylococcus aureus. RNAcentral describes it as "partial 23S ribosomal RNA". It matches the Rfam family "Bacterial large subunit ribosomal RNA", at positions 176 to 376 of the family's 2925-position model. Lineage: Bacteria; Bacillati; Bacillota; Bacilli; Caryophanales; Staphylococcaceae. The record is from RNAcentral.